RNAcentral lists this ribosomal RNA (513 nucleotides) under uncultured soil bacterium. RNAcentral's name for it is "bacterial SSU rRNA". It matches the Rfam family "Bacterial small subunit ribosomal RNA", at positions 26 to 506 of the family's 1533-position model. The record is from RNAcentral.
AGAGUGAACGCUGGCGGCAGGCCUAACACAUGCAAGUCGAACGGCAGCACAGGGGAGCUUGCUCCCUGGGUGGCGAGUGGCGGACGGGUGAGGACAACGUCGGAAUCUGCCUUUUUGUGGGGGAUAACGUAGGGAAACUUACGCUAAUACCGCAUACGACCCCAGGCCGGGAGGUUCGGGGUGAAAGCGGAGGACCUUCGGGCUUCGCGCAGAGAGAUGAGCCGACGUCGGAUUAGCUAGUUGGUGGGGUAAAGGCCCACCAAGGCGACGAUCCGUAGCUGGUCUGAGAGGAUGAUCAGCCACACUGGAACUGAGACACGGUCCAGACUCCUACGGGAGGCAGCAGUGGGAAUAUUGGACAAUGGGCGCAAGCCUGAUCCAGCCAUGCCGCGUGUGUGAAGAAGGCCUUCGGGUUAGUAAAGCUACUUUUUGGUGGGUAAGAAAAGCAACGUCGGUUAAGUACCCGGGUGUUCGUGAACGGUACCCAAAGAAUAAGCACCGUCUAACGUUCGU